Molecule: ribosomal RNA, 275 nt
Filed under: uncultured bacterium
Lineage: Bacteria
Description: partial 16S ribosomal RNA
Rfam family: Bacterial small subunit ribosomal RNA
Source: RNAcentral
CCUACGGGUGGCUGCAGUGGGGAAUUUUGGACAAUGGGGGAAACCCUGAUCCAGCCAUGCCGCGUGCGGGAAGAAGGCCUUCGGGUUGUAAACCGCUUUUGUCAGGGACGAAACGGCUUGGGUGAAUAUCCCGGGCUAAUGACGGUACCUGAAGAAUAAGCACCGGCUAACUACGUGCCAGCAGCCGCGGUAAUACGUAGGGUGCAAGCGUUAAUCGGAAUUACUGGGCGUAAAGCGUGCGCAGGCGGCUUUGUAAGACAGAUGUGAAAUCCCCG